UUCCUUGAACCGCAUGGUUCAAGGAUGAAAGACGGUUUCGGCUGUCACUUACAGAUGGACCCGCGGCGCAUUAGCUAGUUGGUGGGGUAAUGGCUCACCAAGGCGACGAUGCGUACCGUACCCAACCUGAGAGGGUGAUCGGCCACACUGGGGACUGAGACACGGCCAAAACUCCUACGGGAGGCAGCAGUAGGGAAUCUUCCGCAAUGGACGAAGUCUGUGACGGAGCAACGCCGCGUGAGUGAUGAAGGUUUUCGGAUUCGAAAGCUCUGUUGUUAGGGAAGAACAAGUGCGAGAGUAACUGCUCGCACCUUGACGGUACCUAACCAGAAAGCCACGGCUAACUACGUGCCAGCAGCCGCGGUAAUACGUAGGUGGCAAGCGUUGUCCGGAAUUAUUGGGCGUAAAGGGCUCGCAGGCGGUUUCUUAAGUCUGAUGUGAAAGCCCCCGGCUCAACCGGGGAGGGUCAUUGGAAACUGGGAAACUUGAGUGCAGAAGAGGAGAGUGGAAUUCCACGUGUAGCGGUGAAAUGCGUAGAGAUGUGGAGGAACACCAGUGGCGAAAGCGACUCUCUGGUCUGUAACUGACGCU
RNAcentral lists this ribosomal RNA (591 nucleotides) under Bacillus safensis. RNAcentral describes it as "bacterial SSU rRNA". It matches the Rfam family "Bacterial small subunit ribosomal RNA", at positions 173 to 747 of the family's 1533-position model. The record is from RNAcentral. Lineage: Bacteria; Bacillati; Bacillota; Bacilli; Caryophanales; Bacillaceae.